CGGUUGAUUGUUUUAACAAA
Molecule: unclassified non-coding RNA, 20 nt
Filed under: synthetic construct
Description: RNA (5'-R(*CP*GP*GP*UP*UP*GP*AP*UP*UP*GP*UP*UP*UP*UP*AP*AP*CP*AP*A)-3') from synthetic construct (PDB 8J62, chain X)
Source: RNAcentral